GUGAGGAGACAACUUUUCCCAACUUUUAUUUGUCAGGCUACUCUCCCCAAGAAGCGCAUCUAAAAUGUCGAACUCUUCUGGGCAAAAGAAGAUAAGUGGAAUAGCUAGUGGCGACGUAUGUUGUGAAAAAAUGUUCAGAUAUAUAGCAUACAUAUAUCAUGCGGUCACGCAAUUGAAUGUCGUAUGCAUCGUUCACGUGCCCAGGCGUAACUAUAUCUUACUCUUUGCAGCUGUAUUGGCGUAACAGG
Long non-coding RNA from Drosophila arizonae, 248 nucleotides. RefSeq lists it as uncharacterized. NCBI's taxonomy places the organism in Eukaryota, Metazoa, Arthropoda, Insecta, Diptera, Drosophilidae. The record is from RefSeq and is a predicted model, not a curated record.